ACCGAUGUCUAGUAUAAGCACUAUACUGUGAAACUGCGAAUGGCUCAAAAAACCAGUUAUCGUUUAUUUGAUAGUACCCUACUACUGGGAUAACCGUGGUAAUUCUAGAGCUAAUACAUGCUAAAAACCUCGACUUCGGAAGGGGUGUAUUUAUUAGAUAAAAGACCAAUCCCCUUCGGGGCUCCUUGGUGAUUCAUAAUAACUUAACGAAUCGCAUGGCCUUGCGCCGGCGAUGGUUCAUUCAAAUUUCUGCCCUAUCAACUUUCGAUGGUAGGGUAGUGGCCUACCAUGGUUGCAACGGGUAACGGACGAUUAGGGUUGGACUCCGGAGAGGGAGCCUGAGAAACGGCUACCACAUCCAAGGAAGGCAGCAGGCGCGCAAAUUACCCAAUCCCGACGCGGGGAGGUAGUGACAAUAAAUACUGAUACAGGGCUCUUUUGGGUCUUGUAAUUGGAAUGAGUACAAUUUAAAUCUCUUAACGAGGAACAAUUGGAGGGCAAGUCUGGUGCCAGCAGCCGCGGUAAUUCCAGCUCCAAUAGCGUAUAUUAAAGUUGUUGCAGUUAAAAAGCUCGUAGUUGAACCUUGGGUCUGGCUGGCCGGUCCGCCUCACCGCGUGCACUGGUCCGGCCGGACCUUUCCUUCUGGGGAGCCUCAUGCCCUUCACUGGGUGUGCUGGUCAACCAGGACUUUUACUGUGAAAAAAUUAGAGUGUUCAAAGCAGGCCUAUGCUCGAAUACAUUAGCAUGGAAUAAUAGAAUAGGACGUGUGGUUCUAUUUUGUUGGUUAUAGGACCGCCGUAAUGAUUAAUAGGGAUAGUCGGGGGCAUCAGUAUUCAAUUGUCAGAGGUGAAAUUCUUGGAUUUAUUGAAGACUAACUACUGCGAAAGCAUUUGCCAAGGAUGUUUUCAUUAAUCAGGAACGAAAGUUAGGGGAUCGAAGACGAUCAAAUUACCGGCGGAAGCUUAACCAUAAACUAUGCCGACUAGGGAUCGGGCGAUGUUAUUAUUUGACUCGCUCGGCACCUUACGAGAAAUCAAAGUUUUUGGGUCUGGGGAGAGUCGA
RNAcentral lists this ribosomal RNA (1062 nucleotides) under Lauriomyces bellulus. RNAcentral's name for it is "SSU rRNA". It matches the Rfam family "Eukaryotic small subunit ribosomal RNA", at positions 53 to 1127 of the family's 1831-position model. The record is from RNAcentral. Lineage: Eukaryota; Fungi; Ascomycota; Leotiomycetes.